RNAcentral lists this long non-coding RNA (536 nucleotides) under Castor canadensis (American beaver). RNAcentral's name for it is "lncRNA (ENSCCNG00000029969.1)". Lineage: Eukaryota; Metazoa; Chordata; Mammalia; Rodentia; Castoridae. The record is from RNAcentral.
UUCCCAGGCCUGCAGUGGUGUUCUAGGGUUAAAGAAUACCUUGAAGUACAUACUUGAUCUGCUUGCCUUUGGAUUAUUUAAGUCCUCACAUGUCUGGGCUAGUACUGUUCAACAUAAGGAAGCGUCAGGACAAGCAUGCCCAUGAGAACUCUAAACUGUUCAGGUCACUUUACAUUGGUGAAACUGACAAUUGAAACUGCUAUAGUUGAUGGGCGAAAUUUCUUCUAGACUUUUCAUCAUCCCAGUUUCAUCCUAGUUGAAAAUAUUUCAAUGCCAUAAGAAAUCUGUAGAUUUGCACUUAGCUGCAGAUGGACAUUUCUUUGAUAGUUUCUGUGAUGGAGAGAACUGUGUUAUAGCCUGGUCCAAGGACAUUCCCAUCUAAUGCGCAUCAACCACAGUGUGGGUGAGGAAGGUUCCAAAGAGAAGGAACAACCGUCAAGUUUGCAGACACCCUGAAACAUGGAAGCAAUGAAGCUUUAAAAGCACAGCCUUGGAGAUACUCCAUGAGUCUACUCUGCUUUCAGGCGAACUAGCAC